GAAGAAGUCAACCAGCCAUGCAGAACAAAGAGAAAAGGAGUCAGUUUUGUGAGGAGCUGCCGUGAGAACUUGCAGAGAGAAGCUGGGGGAUCCCCAAAGCAGUACUCGGGCAGAAUCACACAAGUGAAAUCCAAGGCACAGCAAAGCUCAGUCCCUGCUAGAGGAUCACCACGUCUGCUGUUUCAGGGAUUUUGUGAGCUGUUCAAGUUCUUGGGUGUCUGUGAAGACUCUGUCAUGCCCCUGUUGCUACACAGCCUGCUCAGCUCCUCCCACAGCUCCUCCACCUGGUGCCUCAGACCCUGGGCCAGGGGCUGGCUUGCACACACCUUGACAACUUUGCCCCAGCCACCUGGAAGCCCAGAGAAGAAGAAGCUAGGCAAUGUAACAGAAUUGUGUGAGUGGAGUCCACAAUGAGAAAAAACGCAGAAAGC
This is a long non-coding RNA of Vidua chalybeata, 431 nucleotides long. RefSeq lists it as uncharacterized. NCBI's taxonomy places the organism in Eukaryota, Metazoa, Chordata, Aves, Passeriformes, Viduidae. The record is from RefSeq and is a predicted model, not a curated record. The transcript has 3 exons.